This 1314-nucleotide ribosomal RNA is filed under the name uncultured organism. Its description in RNAcentral is "bacterial SSU rRNA". It matches the Rfam family "Bacterial small subunit ribosomal RNA", at positions 124 to 1450 of the family's 1533-position model. The record is from RNAcentral.
AUCUGCCUUCAGGACAGGGAUAGCCCAGAGAAAUUUGGGGUAAUACCUGAUGAAAUCGAGAGAUCAAAGGGGCUUCGGCUUCGCCUGGAGAUGAGCCUGCGUCCCAUCAGGUAGUUGGUAAGGUAAAGGCUUACCAAGCCGAUGACGGGUAGCUGGUCUGAGAGGAUGAUCAGUCACAAGGAAACUGAGAUACGGUUCCUACUCCUACGGGAGGCAGCAGCCAAGAAUAUUCCGCAAUGGGCGAAAGCCUGACGGAGCAAUGCCGCGUGAAGGAAGAGGGCCUUCGGGUUGUAAACUGCUUUUCUAAGUGAAGAAUAAGGCAGAUAGGGAAUGAUCUGCUGAUGACGGUAACUUAGGAAUAAGCCCCGGCUAAUUACGUGCCAGCAGCCGCGGUAAUACGUAAGGGGCGAGCGUUGUUCGGAAUUACUGGGCGUAAAGGGCGCGUAGGCGGCUGUGCAAGUCGGAUGUUAAAGACCACGGCUUAACCGUGGGCAAGCGUUCGAAACUGUACGGCUAGAGUCUGGUGGAAGGUGAUGGAAUUCCCGGUGUAGCGGUGGAAUGCGUAGAUAUCGGGAAGAACACCGAAGGCGAAAGCAGUCAUCUAUGCCGAGACUGACGCUGAGGCGCGAAAGCGUGGGUAGCAAACAGGAUUAGAUACCCUGGUAGUCCACGCUGUAAACGAUGUACACUAGGAGUUGGCGGGGACCGUUAGCUCCGAAGCAAACGCGAUAAGUGUACCGCCUGGGGAGUACGGUCGCAAGACUGAAACUCAAAGAAAUUGACGGGGGCCCGCACAAGCGGUGGAGUAUGUGGUUUAAUUCGAUGCUAAACGAAGAACCUUACCAAGACUCGACAUAGUAGUGAAAUCUGCUGAAAGGCAGAGUUCCUUCGGGACGCUAUUACAGGUGCUGCAUGGCUGUCGUCAGCUCGUGCCGUGAGGUGUUGGGUUAAGUCCCGCAACGAGCGCAACCCUUGUCUUUAGUUGCCACCGUAAGGGGAACUCUAAAGAGACUGCCGACGACAAGUCGGAGGAAGGAGGGGAUGAGGUCAAGUCAUCAUGGCCUUUAUGUCUUGGGCUACACACAUACUACAAUGGUCGGUACAGAGGGGAGCGAAUGGGCGACCUGGAGCAAAUCUCUAAAACCGACCUCAAUACGGAUUGCAGUCUGCAACUCGACUGCAUGAAACUGGAAUCGCUAGUAAUCGUGGGUCAGCUAAACCACGGUGAAUACGUUCUCGGGCCUUGUACACACCGCCCGUCACACCACCCGAGUUGGUUUUUCCUGAAGUUAGUUACUCUAACCGUAAGGGGGA